Gallus gallus (chicken) is the source of this 13343-nucleotide long non-coding RNA. NCBI's taxonomy places the organism in Eukaryota, Metazoa, Chordata, Aves, Galliformes, Phasianidae. The record is from Ensembl.
CUGGGGUUGACUAGCUCAAAGCAACACAGAUAUAACGAAAAAACCUGUGUUAUAUCACAUGUUCAUCUACUGCCUGCAUUCCACCUCCUGCCGCAGGCGCUGCCGCUUCCCUGCAUGCCCCGGGAACUGCGGACUGUUCAGGUGCUGUGGGGCUACAAGGACAAUCUGAUCUGCUUCAGCUUCUUCUAUGCUCUUUGCUGGGUCACUUCUUAGGAAGAAGGUAUUUCCUUUCUGCUCUGCUAUGUGUCUGUGUAUCAGUUAGGAGGCUGAGAACAGCUGAGCAUCAGCGAUCUCCUUGUGCUGUGUUCCAUCCUGCGGCUCGUCGCUCCAUCACUGAGAUCCAUAGGCUUCAUUUCAGCUCUUUGGCAAUGCUUCUUCUAACCUUGCUGCAAGAAGUCCUUGUGGCCAAUGCAUCCUCCCUAACGAGGCUGACGGGCUGCUGGCGAAAGGUGCCAGAGGAUGGAAGCUGGCAUGCUGAGGGCUUCUGUCCUGCGGUGCAGGCUGCUGGGAUCUGCCUUCCAUUGUGCUACUGAAACAUCAUCAAAGCCAGGAAAUGGGAGUGCCAUUCCAGUGAAAACCUUUGCAGUGCUGCAGCAGAGAGCCUUAAAUUCAAAGCAGUACUUUAAAAAUCAGAACUAGAAGGCGCUGCAUUAGGCCAGUGAAUGAUUCCAGCUUACACUGCCCACACAUUUGGGAAGGCUGCUUCAUCACUUCACUGCUACAUUUGUCACCUGACACCUGAGGACAGGUCACUGGAUCACAGUUCCUUACUGCCCUGCAGCUGGGGAAGGAGUUUGCAGCCCUUCUGCUGAGAAGACAGGGCUGGGUCUGCAGCCAUUAAAAGGAGCAGAAGAAGAUUUCCUCGAAUUCCUGCAUUGCUGUGAGCUGACACAAGGGCACGGCGCUCCACGCAGCAACCACCAGAUGUGCAGUGCAGGGUGUGUGUCGUGGAGCUAAUUUGGUUGUUGCCUAGAGAGCAAGGAGUUAAAGAGCAAAUGGUUUGCAGAUAGGUGUCUGGAGAAAAUCCUGAGCAGCACUGUUCCUUGGAUGAUUCACUUGCACAUUCCUGCUGCAGUAACCAGAAGCUGAAGGAGCUGAGCUCAUAGGCUGAGUCUGCCUGUGCACCCUAUGGUAGUUUGCACGGUAUGGAUUUGCUAAUGAGGGAGGGCCACAGUGAUCAUUACUUAUGCAGCAUCUCAGGAAAGAUUAAUGGCUGUAUAUCUGGCUCUUCUCAUAGCCCAUAAAUCUUCACUGCAGUUAAUGAGUCUUUAUUGAUUCUGUCAGGUAGGGUAAUUUCCAUUUCUUUCAUCAAGGCACGUUAAAUACACGCUUAUCUACUUUUCUUUUCUUAUUAUUAUUUGUUUCCAGUUAUCUCUUCGCUUGUCUAAUCAAGUCUGGAAAAAAUAAUUGUCAUUAAUUCACUGACCUGAACCUGGGCCGAGCUGUUCUGUGCACUGGCUGAAUGUGACAACUAAUCCAACAGAAAUAUGCAUUAUAUUCCCCUACAUUGCCACCUUGAAACGUCCCGGCACUGCCUCCCUGCAGUACUGGUGCUGCCACAGGGACAGGGACACGAGCUGAAGUCUCCAUGAAGUCCUGUAUGGAACAAAGGCCAGAAGGAAGUCAUGAUUUCAGUGUGUCUACUGUACUGGAAGGAAAAACAGAACAAACAGAUCCUCCUUGAAACUCUUCCCACAACCAAACUUUUAAUGUUUUUAUGAGAGAUCUGCACAUGUAUUCACAUUUAUCAGCAUAUGCAAAUCUCCCACUGAAGGGAAGCAGGCUGUGUCAGAGCAGUGGAGGUAGAAGCUGACAGUAGAUCUCUACAGCUGUCAAAACAACGGCCUGGUAGAAUGCAGCCAUCAAAACACGAGUCUUGUGUGCACAUCUCAGACUUGGCUGUUCAAUCUCUUGCACCAGAAGCUCCUAUGGCAAAUGUUUUUGAAACACGGAUGAUCCGAGUGCAUCAGAAAGAAAGCAAUAGCUGUGACAUCUUGGUCUCCAUCCUCAAAAGGCACUGGGAAUUCCAAACAAUCUAGUAAUUGGAAUUCAUAGCUAGUUUCUGUAUGAAAAGUCAGCUGUAGAAAAUAGUGUGUUUGAAAGUAUCCCCUACUCCAUACAUCAGCAUGUAACCCGGAAGCUUUCCUUCCUUGCAGUUCCCUUUGGGUUGCUUUUCCCAGUAAGAGGUCCUACCCCCUUUUUGACCAGAGGCUCUUGUGGUAAAGGGGAGCGCUGUGGGACUUCCAAGCUGGAGUGGAGGGAGAAGCGGGUAGUGAGGCAAUGCUGUGCUAUUGGAAGUUGUGCUGUUGUAAACCAUGGGAACAGCUGACCUGAGGAAUCUGCGAGAAACAAUCCUCUAUCGUCAGACACUGAAUAAUCUAAUGACUUAUUUCAGUUUCUUAAAAAUUGCCUUUUCAUCAGUUGAAAGUUGCAAAUUGCUGGUUUAAUGAGUCCCAAGCAGAGAAAAUAGAAGUAAAAAUAUAUGCAUCUUAUCUAAUAAAUGCUGAGCACUAGACAGGCAUGACUAAAGCAAACUAACCUGCAGAUUUUAAAUCUCUUAGGAUCUGUUGCAGACAGCUUGGUUCAAAACAGCCAACGAAAGAACAGAGCUGCAGCAGGUCUGCCUCGGCACCACUUGCUGCAGCUCCUGGAGGAGCAGCGUUGCAUUUUCUGUUUGGUAAACUGCUGACAGUGCUAACAGUACCAUCUUUGAAACAGCAAACUGAGCAUGUGCCAUCCCUUUGAAGGACACAUGCUGAAAUGCAGGAUGAGUAGUUCCAGAUAAGCCAGCACAGUAUGUCAGUACCUUCAGCGUGUUGCACAAACUUGCUGAUAGGGGACAAAACAAAAACCACAGAAACAAAAGCAGCUCAACAUAUUGUUCUGGUGAAAUGAGAACUCUCUCCCCAGUGUCUGUAUGCUUUGUUUAAUGGAUCAUGGGAGCCUCAGGAUUCACCAGUGUCUCACGAAGCUGCACCAGGCGAUGGCAGAUGGCAGCAGGAGCACGCGGUGCAAGAAUGCGCCCUUCUCUUAAAUGCAGCAUGAGGGUGGAGGCCCUGGGCUUCUUUCCACGCAUGACUCAAAUGAAUCUUCUGCCUAAUGAGUAGCAUUUUGAAGUCAGCUUAAAAAUCCUAUAGUGAUCCUAUCUAACCAGCUUCUCCUACGUAAAGAUUAAUUUUUUAUAAUGGUGGUUUUCUUUCCAGUUGCCCAGGGCAGUUAUUUGCUAGGGCAGCCUCCUAUCAGCUGAGAUAACAAGGGCAAAGACUGACAGUCCAGCAGAGUCUGGGUUGUGCUCAUUUCUGGGGGAGCAGCGGAUACUAUUAAUGGUGUUCAGGCCUAAAUGGAACCAAGUGUCUCAUUGGGAAAAUAUGUUGGGGAGAAAGGGCUGUGCUAGGGGGCUGCAUACCCAGAUUGUGCUCCUGUUGGAUGACUGGCUGAUAAAACCAGCACUCCUAUAUAACCUUGCAAAAGUCAUUAAUGAAGCUUCAGUGCCUCACAGUGAUGGUGGUGCUCCCAGCUGAUGGAGACAUGCUGGAGCAAGCUGCAGUAACAGUGUCUGACUGGCAGUCUUCCCUGCUGGGUGCUGCUGUCAGGAAGGCACAGUAGAGACUACGUAGGCAUAUUGAAAUAGGGUAUGAGAUCAAAUCAUCUAAAAGAUCUGCAAGGACCCUUGUUGUCUUCUUCCUUGCAGUUUGCAAAUUGCUGCUGUAUACUGAUUUUAUCUGAUUUCAAAUGUAGCUUAAGAGACUGUUUGGUAGGCAAGAGCAUCUCUAAACUAGUGGUGAGCCUUUGGGGGCUGUGUGGCAGGUGACACAGGCUGGAGGUUUCCAUAAGUAUAGGAUCCAGUUGGCAGCAUAGGCUGGUGCCCUUGGAGGUGGUAUUGCUGCAAUGGGCGAUCUGUGUCCUCAGCUGAGCACUGGCACAGAACUAGCUGUGGAUGGCAGAGCCUCGAUUUCUUCUUCCAAGUAGCAAUGGGCUGCAAAAAUUAACAUGAGUAAAAUCCAUCUCCAUCCUAGGAACAUGUAAACAUCUGGACGAGUAGUUAUGAAGAUUAAUGUUAUGCACAGGGUAAGAAUUCCCACUGACAUUUGCUCAGUUUGCCCAAGCAAGUUAGUGGAAACCUCCUGUGAAUAUGAACCGUACUCUGCAGUGCUGCGCAGGCAUUUAACAGCUUGGAUGCCAGUCUCCUUACAGGCACAUCAGUAAGUCUUAGUCUUUAAUUGCCUUAAAAUAUAAUAUUGGAAGAAAAAAAAAGUCAUAGAGGUAUGUGUAACUUUUAAGACUAAGUGGAAAAGAAGUAAACAACAAUAAAGUUAUCCCCAUCUUUGGACUUAAAAUCAGUCCUGACUGAGGCAGUUCUUCAAGGAGAGUGGGUGACAGCUGUCUGUCAGGUCUGAGCAACACGUCUUCUGCACUGAUGAUCAAUGCCUGAAAUAACGCUGAGGUGCAGCAGUAGCUGUGUAUCAUUCAUAGGAGGGUGGCAGCUGCUCCAAGUACAGCACUGAGCGUGAAUGCCUGCUGUCUCGUGGUCAGUGGUUACUGCUGUGCCUGAAGCCUGGCUGUGCCUGUGGUCAGAUGCUCUGACAUCAAAGGUACUGUUGGCUCCUUUGGGCUGGUGAACUUUAUUGAAAGCAUGCCAUGUUUGGAGUCCCAUGAGCAGGUAACGUGCAUCCAUCUGAGCGUGCAGGUUUGAACGUGUCUGCCAUAAGGUAUUUGAAUCUGGAGGCAAUGUGAUUCUUGCUAUGCAAUAAAAUCAAGAAUACACAGUCUUUUAGUGUCUAAACCCCUCCCAGUCCUCCCCUAUUCUGAACGUACUGUUAUCAUUACACCGAUACUUGCUGUGUAAUACACUUUAAAUGAGUGUGAAUGUGCUAUGGACUAAUGUGGUUAUCUCCAUAUGGCAGGAAGUUGCUUGGUCGGAGGUCAUCUCCAUACUGGUGUAAUUCCAGGCAUGUUGCUGGUUUUAAUAAUAUAAUGACGAUAAUUGAUGUUCUAAAACUGGUAAGGUCAGUGUUCACUGGCUGCUACAUUUACUUGGCAGCCAGCUCAGCAGUAUUAACACGAAAUGAGGCACAAAUCCCACGUCCUGCUCCCAGGCCUGAUAGCAGAAUGGGCGCUCCAAUGAAUCGCAGUGCUGUUUACUCCUUUGGCACUCCUUUCUUGCUGACCUCUGCCCAGGUGUGCCAUGCAGCAGGGUAAGACGGGGUGAAGCCAGGGCCAACCUGAAAAGCCCUCACGUGGCAGUUUUGCCAUGACGAGUUAAUCACAGCAUUUGCUGGUAUUAUUCCAGACUUUUUUUUCCCCCUUUGGAUGUGUGCAGGUUCACAGAGUAAAGGCAGGACGACUGUUGAAUGUGUAUUAAUGGCUAUAAGAAAUAUAGGUCCCAGUUUGCCAGUUGUUCUGCCAGGUUCUCAGACAGGAAUGUUUAGGGAGCUUUUUCUCGGCAUGGUGCAAAGCCUGCAGCUAAGAAAAGAGCCCAGGGAAGAUAAUCUGCCUUUUUCCAUGUUCAGCAUUUCCCACCCGGUGUGAACCUAAAUCAUGUGGAUUUCACUACUGGCUCUGCAAUGUUACGGGGAGAUAAGGCGGUAACAACUCAUUUGUAUCCCCAGAUGAGAUAAACCAGAAGCACAUCUCCCCGUUUGUGAGUGGCUUCCUAUCAGAGGUGAGAAUAACUGCGCGGCACUAAGCUGGCAGUCAGCAGUGAUUAAUAAUAGUAAAUCUUUUGCAUAAAUAGAAAGGUGUCAUUGUGUGUAUUUCACUUACAGUGUUUCUAAUGUGUGUCUGUAAUUAAAUUACAUCUGGUUUUCUGUCCAAGAAAUUAAUGUGCACUUACAUAAUGUGUUGGUGCUCUUAUGUUCAGGAGGGGGAAAUGAGUGCUCUGCCUUUUCAAGUGGAGAUUGCUUCAUCCAUAGCUUUUUGGGGGAGUGGAAAUAGAUUUAUUCUAUCUUUGCACGUUCGUCUGAUUCGGUGCUGAAAUCACUGGAGCAAAUUCAGCAGCCCCGGAUGCCUUCAGUUCAGGAUCCCGUUCUGAAUGAUGAUGGAAGAGAAGAAGCGUGUUACUUUGUGCUAAGUAAGAGAAGGGGACUGUAUUGAACACCGAGUUUGCUCGUUUGAUUUGUAAGCAUAUGAAAUAGCCUGCCACAUUCUUCAACUAAGCACGUAAAUUACUUGAAUCGUGGUUGUGUGUUCUGUGUUUGCUGUUACCAUUGGAAGCAGUUUUAUCAGGCUUCAGUCCCUGUGGUACUCGAGAAAGUUGUAAGAAUGCAAAGCUAUCUGAAGGUCAUUUGCAAUCUUAACAGCAGAAAUUACUAGCUGCUGUCAGCUACUAUAAUGGUGUUGAUAUGUGGCGUAAUAGUUUUACAGUGAAAUGGGAGAUGUAUUGAAGGUAUCUGAAACAGAAGCAGAAAACGUGGCUUUGGUGUGCAGGCAGGAGGAUAUUUCAGUGUCAGCUCUGAACACGAUCCCCAUAUUACACUGAGACGCAACGACUCCUUAAUGAUGGAGGCUGCUGACAGUCAGACAGGCGCUUGGAAAUUCCUCUUCACCAAGUGUUUUGGAGGCAGCUGGCAGACUUCCAGAAGUGUUCUGCUGGAGCUGCACAGCAGGCACACUGAACUAGCCUUGGUUGUGUGCCAGUUCACUACGUGGCAGUGGAUCAGGAUUCUCCAGAGAGGCUCUGCAGUCUCCAUCCCUGGGAGACCUUCAAGAGCAGAGUGGUUGGUCCUCAGCUGUGAUCUCAUAGCUGACCUGGGCUAAGCGGGAGGUUGGAUUGGAUGACCUUGUGAGGUCCUUUCCAGCCACGGUUCUCCUGUGAUAACCUCCUGAGUAGGCUCUGCUUUACAUGGGAGGUGGGAGGAAUUUAUAAACCAUAAUGUUAGUUUAAUUUUUUCUUUUCACAGUGGGUUUGCCUUUUUGAAGUAUCCCACUAGGAAUUCUGCAUCUUGGCUCAGUCGUGGCUUGGAGAAUAACCGAGUGUUUCAGGAUCUGCCAGAACAGCAGUGCCCUGGAAAUAUCUGACUGCACAAAAAUCAAAAGGAAAUUGGAGAUUGGCUUUGUUAAGGACACCUCCUGUUCUAUGGCACUGUCACUCAAUCGCUGUGUGGGAGUGCAUACAUUGUCUACAGGUGGUAGUGAGGAGGAGUCAAAGCUUCAGAGAGAGCUGCAGGAACAGCUGGACCUCAUAAGAGCUGCAAAAGAAGAUUCCCCAGCUAAAACAUGUCCAUGGAGAGCCAUAUGUGCAUAGCUGUUAGGAUUUUGGAAUCAGUGUGGUGGAAUGACAGGGAGAUGAUGGGUAAAUAUUAAUUGAGAGAGCAACCCCUGCCAAGAAAUUCUUUGCGAUCGUGUUACCUUCUCUUCAUGCAAAAUAUUUACCAAGUCAAAUACUGCCAUUUAAUUUACCAUAACUUGGUAGUCAUUACACAGGGACUUGAAGAGAAGGCCCAGCGGCCUGGCAGCCUCCUGGUGUGCCUUUGGGCUGUCCCAGAGGCAGUGAGACUGUCAGCAUGGCAGCGUGUGCUGGGAAGCUGCUUUCCAUUCUAUAUGCAGUAUCACAGGGCUGUGCUGAGCCAUGUGCCAAGCUGGCACCUCGUCCUGGCCACCUUUGGGCCAGGGGAUGGAAGGGUAAGAUGAGCUGAGCUGAUAGGUCUCUGUCAUCUGUCUGAAGGGCUUGCAGAAAUCUAGUGAAUGGGGCACCGUGUUUGGGUUUUCUUUCCAGAACUGGCAAUGCACAGGUGUAGGGUUGGUAGCAUGGAGAAGGCCAGACGAGGAAUAGAAAAAAGAGGGAAAGUUCAUUUUUGCAAUUAUUUCUGCACUUCUGUUCCUAAGACCUCUUGUUUUGUUUGUUUGUUUGUUUGUUUUGUUUUGUUUUGUUUUUAUGUUUCAUUUGCUUGGAGUCUGAGCUGGGAUAUCACAGGGAUGCUUCUCUCACUUCUGAUUCAGUAGAGUUGUAUUUCAGGCACUGAUUUGCAUUGACAGGCAGAAAAUACUUCUGUUUAAUUAGAAUAAAUCAUUUUAAAGUUGAAGAUGAAGAUGACCCUGGAAGAGUGCCACUCACAUCUUUAGUUGAUGCCUCAUGCCCACAAUUGAUGUGGGAACCCUAUUCCCAUGCCGACGGCACAGGCCAUGUGUGCACUGAGUAAUCACAAAUUUACACAUCAGCAUUACUCAACCUCCAGGCAGCGUGCGGUCAGUUUUCAUUUGCACUCUUAAAAUUGUUUCCAUUUAACACCCUUAAGCAGCUCUACGAAUUACAGUGAAAUAUAAAAUGACCCUCACAUUUGCUCUCCUGCUUAUUCAACACGACCGUUCCCCGCUCGGCGUGGCAGCGUGCUUUUCAUGUGGCUGCCCAUAUGCCCUGCACAUGACUGUGAUCUGGCUCCCAAAAGGGUAUGUUGUGAUCUGCUCGCAUGUGCCAAUUCACAUAUCUAAACGUUUUCAUAAGGGGAACCCCUUUGUGUUAGUCAUCUGGUUGUCAAACAAGACCUGGCUGUGAUCCUGGACCUGGCACUAGAUGAAAUAUGUGCACUUUAAACAUUUCAUACUGAAACUGAUGGGAAUGGGCAAUUCCUCAGUACAUUUUCUCAAGGUUUUUAAACAAUAAAUGUCAACCUAAGGGCAAAGCGAGACAGAUUUCAGAUUAAAGAGACGGGCUUUGCUUAACAUCUAUAAAUCCCUUAGUCCCAACCUCCUUCAUGGUUUUUCAAACAAGGAACAAGGAAAGGCUAUGUCAAGCGCGGUGGACACUUUUGUCAACACAACUUCUGCCUUUGGUAGCAUGAUAGAAAGAUUUCAAAAAUAGAUUUUUCUGAUGGAUUCAUGACUUGGCAUCCCGCAGAGAAUCUAGUAUUCUUCCAAGCAAAGCUAAAGGUUUGUGUUAGAAGGCUAGCAAAGCCAGUCAAAGAGCCUUUCAUCCUCAAGAUUACUAAAAUAUUCCUUUGUUUAUUUUUCUCCUUCAAUUACUUUUCCUGUCUUGGUUUAAUCUGUAGUGCUGAAGCUUGUCAGCACCUAUAGCCUUUUGUUUAGGAUAGAUGCCUUGGGAGCAUGAAUAAAAACAAUUUUCAUGUAGUGUCUCCUUGUCACAGCUGCUGCCUGAAGCCCAUCGACUUCUCUUUCCAAAGACCCGAUUAUGCACACACAAACAGAACAGAGCCUGGAGCCAGCAGUUUGAUAUUGCUUAAUGCCAGCGAUGAGCCCUCGUUAACCCGGUGCUCCAUCAUUUGCAAUAGAAGCAGCAAAUUUGUUUUCUCUCCCAGUUUCCAAAGAAAAAAAUGUGUCAGAAUGCUUGUCUUGACUGUAACUUAGUGAAAUGUUUAAAUAUUUUAGAAUGUAAAUUCUAGAAUUUGCAGCUGCGGGGAGAAGGAAAAUGAAACUUGUAUUUGGAAAAUUAAUUCUCAAACAAAAAUUCCCUGUAUAUGUUUUCUUUUUCCAGGAAAGUGAUUUCUUGAAACUUCAGCAUAUGCUUUUCAUUUGUGUGAGCUGGCACUGCCACGAGCCAGAGGAGGCUUGCAGCAAGCGGGGCCAUGCGGGACUGGCACCUGCUCGGCUGUGCUCGGGUGACUUCUGGACCUUCUGGUACUGUGAGUGAGCCGCACUUGAUGGAAAGAUGCUGAGCAUUUUUUCUUGACCCCAUGUCAUUGUGGAGUGGUUGCAGCUUGCUGUCACGGGCAGUCUUGUCUUGCAGAGAGCAGCAUAUCCCUGCAGAAAGAGAAAUGCUGUGGUAGCUCUAGAUGCAAGAGAAGCUUCAAGGAAAGUUUGCAUUUAAUUAUUGUUAGAAAUGUGCAGCAAAACAGAUUUCAUUGUUUUUAGCUCUUACAAAGCCAUAUGCCUAUGUCUCUGGGUUCCAAAACCACAUAACGAACAAAACAAAACAAACAAACAAAAGCAAGACCACAAGCAAGACCACAUAGCAGUAAUUAAAUGUCUCUGUUCCAGAAUAGGGUGCGUACUGUGAUCAAGACUGGCAGUAGCAGGGAAGCCAGGGUGCAUAGCUGAAGGAGGAGAGCAGACAGGAGCAAUGGGCAGGGUUUGCAGGGAAUGAGGAGCGUGGGUCUGUGUGCACCCUGGGAAGGGGCUCGUAACCAAGCACACAGUACUGGAACCUGCUGUGUGGUUGUUUGCAGCUGGAAAAAUGCAAUGGAGACAUGAUUCCUCAUGUAAUUCUUAGGUUGAAUCAGUUGGACCUAUUCUUUGCUUACUCAUUCAAAACUAUCAUUUUAUUCUGUCCCAGCGAGCUGAAGCAGACUGGCUUACUUCUCAUAGGGUGUCCAUCCAGCUGCCUUGAAGACAGCAGAAGGAACUAGAGAUUGUGGUCACAGUUCAGUGACUGAGUGAAGGGAUGAAGGUCAUUCCUCUCACUGAGACAGUCUCUUCAUACUCCCUGUCACCGCUUCUCUGCUCAGUGUUGUUCCUGCUAAUCGGGAUGCUUUGAAAUAGAGAGAGAGGAUAGUGGGAGGUGCAAGAAGAAAGACUGAAUUGAAGGCAGAAGAGAGCACAGUGGGGAUACAGACAGAAAAACAGGCUACGUGCUGAGCACAUUUAAAGGAGCACAGCUGGAACAGUGCUGGAGAGUAACAAAACUAUCUUUCCAUGUGUGUUUGCCUGUUCCCGUGUUAUUUUUCCCCAGUACUGCAUACAGCAUGGUUUCCCCACAAGGUUAAAGAUCACAAUAAUGUUUUAUGUAGGUAGCAGAAUACCCUGCGUGGAGGAAGUGGUACAUGAUUUUACUUAGAGAACAGAGAUUUCAUGGUUUUUAACACAUGCAAGGAAAUUUGUCUACUGGCAUCUGUUGCGGAGAUGGUAUCCCUUUGACACAAGUCAGGAAGCAAAAGCAUCUGUGGCUGUAAGGACAGUGCUUGCAGAAAACACUUGUGCAGAUAUCUUUAUUCAGGUCUGGUUCCCAUGUAGAAAGAGGCAUGUCCUCAGGAUGGCUGCUGAAUGCCAUCAGCACUGGGAGAGAAAAGAACAGAUGUAUGGCUGUAAACCGAGAUGUGAAAAAGCAGGAAUCUGAAGUUAGCUUGAAAGUUAUUUGGGCUGGGGUAUUGGUGGGAAGUGUCAGUGGGCAGCAGCUCAGAACCUGCAGUAACUGCUUGGCUGCCUGGCUCUUUCUUCAGCAAUCUCACUUGAGUGUUUUCAUGUGCAAGCAGAGGACACUGAUCUGCCCUGUCUUCCACACAUGUGCAUUCAUUCAGUGCAGUUACCUGUGUUGCUGUAGUAUACCUGCCCCUUUGGACUUGAGCACAAAUGUAUCAGGUAAAUGCAGGUGGAUGCAGCCACCGGUAAAGAAGUUGGUUUUUUUUUUCAUUGUGAUUGAUGCGUGGAUAGCAACCCUAUCCCAGUCUUACUAUUGGAUCAUCAGUCAAGACUUGAGGACUGCUGAAAGUAUGUCCUCAUCCCUAAGGUGUUGCAGUUCAGUGCUGGACCCGUCCAAGCUGAGACAAACUGAUUUUUGCAUUCAACAAAGCAAUGAUAGGACAAGAGGGCAUGGCCUCAAGUUGUGCCAGGGGAGAUUCAGGCUGGAUAUUAGGAAGAAUUUAUUUCCAGAAAGAGCAAUGAGGCAUUGGCACAGGCUGCCCAGGGAGGUGGUGAAGUCAUCAUCCCUGAAGGUGUUUAAAGAAAAGGCAGAUGUAGCACUUAGGGACAUGGUUUAGUGGGCAGUAUUGAUGGUAGGUGGAUGGUUGGACUAGAUGAUCUUAGAGGUCUUUUCCAACCCUAAUGAACCUGUGAUUCUGUGAAUGCAUGUGGAGUAUAUGACUGGCAGAAAGGACGGAUGUUGGGACGCGAAGCCUGAGUUCAGGUCUGAUACCAAAUGACUCCUGCAAAUUGGGCAGAGUAGGCUUCUGCUCUCUCCAUGCUUAAUUUCCUAACACUGUUUGGAGCUAGUUGGGAGCAGGAGAUAGUGAGCUGUCCAGAAAAACAACCAUUCCAGGUGCCGUGAUGAGUGUGGAGUAUACAGGCAUUGCACAGAAAGCAGUGACAGCAUGGUCUGCAUUAUCUGGUGAGGUGGUACAUCAUCUGCAUACCUGUGUGAUUCUAUAUGUGUGUAUCAGCAGCCUAUUGUUACAACGUGCUUAUGUGGCAAUUCGUUUGUGGAGUGUACCUUGUGCUGGUGUUCCACAGUAUUAAUGUUCUCAAGCAUGGGAAGACAUCUGUCAAGCAAGCACUAGUAAAUACCAUGCAGCUGUACUUUGUCAGGGUUCCAUUUUGCAUUUCCCUCUUUUCUCUACCUCAACACUCCUUCAGAUCACACUGACAUCAGUUGUGAUUAUGGCAAAAGAAGAUAACUCCUGUUAACCCUGUCAGAUGCUUGCAUAAGAUGAAGGCAUUUUCUUAAUGCACUCAUAAUCUAUAACCAGUUGUUUUUAAAGCCAUUUGAGAACCGUACAGAGAAGGCAUUUUGCAUUUGGUCAGUCAGAAGUUGGUAACUGUUUUAGAAGCCUGCUGGAAGGAAGACAUCAAGAAAAGCUUUUGCAAAGCUGUGUUUUCACCUCACAGUGCUUUGCAGAGAUGCAUUCUUGGGUUCGGUUCAUAUGGGUUCAUUUCUCUGACUUUCACUUUGAAUUUUGGAAUCAAAGGCAUUUUAAAAUUUUAGAUCAAACUUAUUAGAAAACACUGUAUCUCACCUGGUUUCAGCUCUUUAAGUAGUGAAAAGCAGUGCCUCCCCUGCUGUGAUCCUGAUACAAAUCUGUAAGUCAUCACGCCAGCGCGUUUGAAGCUGGGCCUAGCACUUCUGUCCAGAGUACAGCGUUGCUCAGAAAGUUCAUGGCUUCACCUUUGAACAGGGUGUUGCAGCGAAACAGGCAGCAGGCCGGAUUUCUGGGUAGAUGGCAAAGACAGCACCCAGCUUUCAUUUUGGGGAUUUUCCUAGCAUAAAGCUGCCCGAGCCAGAAGGCAGUUUGCGGCCACAGAUCCCUGAUUUUGCUCCUUUGAAUCACAGCUGGUGUCCUUUUGGGUGCAUCAGACGUGUUUGCUUCUGUCCUGGAGGCCGACAUUCAGCCAUCAUGGCCGUGGCUAAGGUCUCCAUCCUUGCCAUAUAGACUGGAGUCUGCAGCAGUAGGGCUUAGAACUUGAUACAAGCCUGAAGGGAGAGUUAUGAGCACAGUGACUGACAGCUCACGACUGUCUGAUAUGUCAGACCUCUGAGACCAGGUCUGGGAGGGAGGGUGAAUACAGUACCUGGGGAGCAGUCCCUUCCCUUCCUCCUGCUGGGGGGCAGUGGGGCUGGGCCUGUCCCUGCUGCCCACCCUGCCCUCCAGAGCACAGCUGCCCCUGCGGUUUCCGGGAAUCCCCGCCUGUAUGUGGUUUCUUAACCAGUCCUGCAAAAAUGUAUUUUUUAUUGAAUGUUAUUC